UCCCAGCAUGCACUGCUCCGCUCCACUUCUGCUGAGGUAGGGUCCCAUUUUGGGGUGAUCCUGGUACCUCCCUUUGCGCUGGGCGUUCCUUGCCUGGGGCGCCUCCAGUGGGUGGAGGCUGGGCCAGGGGACAGCCCGUCCGGUGUUCCCAGCCCAGCUUGGGACGCGCUUUGGGGGGUAGCUGGAGAGCCCCGGCUAACCAACCCCCUCUCUCAGCAGAAGGCCUUGCAGCAGGUGGUGAGCGGCAGCUUCCAGAGCGAGUGGCCGGGCCGGGCUGGCGAGAAAGAUGCGGAGAGGAAGAAGAUGAGCCGGAAGAAAUGGUGCCGGAACCCCCGGGCGGUUGGAUCUGGCAGUGGCAAGGGGGGCACUGGGGACCCCAUGGGCACAUGUGACCGGAGCAGCACCGUCCCCGAGGCCCUGGGCCUGUUCUCCGGCCUGGCGGGGGCCCUGCAGUUCCUGCAGAGGUCGUGUGCCGCCUCCAUGCAGACCCGGCUCCUCCUGGGAGACGAGGGGCUCCUGGGGCCCCCGGGCAUCUGCGGGGACACGGAGCCGGACGAGGUGGAGCUGGUGGCCGAGGUGCGGCUGGGGGACGUGGCUGCUGCGUCCGGCAUCUUCAGGAGAGAGCGGGCCUGGAGAGUGCACAAAUCAGGUAGGGACGGGGGUGGGGAGGACAGGCCAUGGGGCCUGUCCCCUCUAGGGGG
RNAcentral lists this long non-coding RNA (701 nucleotides) under Chrysemys picta bellii (western painted turtle). Its description in RNAcentral is "lncRNA (ENSCPBG00000006688.1)". The record is from RNAcentral. Lineage: Eukaryota; Metazoa; Chordata; Testudines; Emydidae.